ACUAUGAUUCAAAUUUGCACAACAGAUUAACAAUAAUCAAAGUGUUAUUAGCAAGAACAACUAUAGAUCUUACAAGAGUAUAUAAGAACGAUGACAUUCUUUUACACGCUGCUGUUCUUGGAGGAAAUAUCGAAUUAGUCAAAUUGUUAUUAGAAAGAACAAUUCAAGAUCCUACUGAAAAAAAUCAGGGCAAUGACACUGUUUUACAUUCUGCUGUUCUUGGAGGAGAUUUCGAAAUAGUCAAAUUGUUAUUAGAGAGAACAUGUAUAGAUCCGACUGAAAAAAAUCAGG
This is a long non-coding RNA of Mytilus trossulus (common blue mussel), 291 nucleotides long. RefSeq lists it as uncharacterized. The transcript has 3 exons. NCBI's taxonomy places the organism in Eukaryota, Metazoa, Mollusca, Bivalvia, Mytilida, Mytilidae. The record is from RefSeq and is a predicted model, not a curated record.